AUCCUGGCUUAGGAUGAACGCUGGCGGCGUGCCUAACACAUGCAAGUCGAACGGAGAUUUGACGCUGAGGAGACUUCGGUCAAUUCUUGUUAAAUCUUAGUGGCGGACGGGUGAGUAACGCGUGGGCAACCUGCCUCGUACGUGGGGGAUAACAGUUGGAAACGACUGUUAAUACCGCAUAAGCGCACGGUAUCGCAUGAUACAGUGUAGAAAAACUCCGGUGGUACGAGAGUCGGGCCCGCGUCAGAUUAGCCAGUUGGCGGGGUAACGGCCCACCAAAGCGACGAUCUGUAGCCGGACUGAGAGGUCGGACGGCCACAUUGGGACUGAGACACCGGACCCAAACUCCGUACGGGAGGCAGCAGUGGGGGAUAUUGCACAAUGGGCGAAAGCCUGAUGCAGCGACGCCGCGUGAAGUGAAGAAGUAUUUCGGUAUGUAAAGCUCUAUCAGCAGGGAAGAAAGGCUCGUAAGAGAGAUGACGGUACCUGACUAAGAAGCCCCGGCUAACUACGUGCCAGCAGCUGC
Molecule: ribosomal RNA, 526 nt
Filed under: uncultured bacterium
Lineage: Bacteria
Description: bacterial SSU rRNA
Rfam family: Bacterial small subunit ribosomal RNA
Source: RNAcentral